This 372-nucleotide ribosomal RNA is filed under the name uncultured organism. RNAcentral describes it as "bacterial SSU rRNA". It matches the Rfam family "Bacterial small subunit ribosomal RNA", at positions 526 to 896 of the family's 1533-position model. The record is from RNAcentral.
CAGAGGUCCCAAGCGUUGUUCGGAUUUACUGGGCGUAAAGGGAGCGUAGGUGGCGGGCUAAGUCUAAUGUGAAAGCUCUGAGCUUAACUCAGAAAUGACAUUGGAUACCUGUUCGCUUGAGGAUUGGAGGGGAGACUGGAAUGCUCGGUGUAGCAGUGAAAUGCGUAGAUAUCGAGCGGAACACCAGUGGCGAAGGCGAGUCUCUGGACAAUUCCUGACACUGAUGCUCGAAAGCUAGGGGAGCAAACGGGAUUAGAUACCACGGUAGUCCUAGCUGUAAACGGUGCGCGCUUGCUGUAGGUGGAUUCGACCCCGCCUGUAGCGAAGCUAACGCGUUAAGCGCGCCGCCUGGGAAGUACGGUCGCAAGAUUA